UUCACUUGCCUGUCUACGGUUCCCUUGCGUGUGCUCGGGAUAGGUGUUUUGUAUAAAUGUUUCGCCAUAUUAUUAAGUAUUCUCCUUUCAGAAUCCUCUAUUUUAGUUCUUCCACCCAUGCAAUAG
Molecule: ribosomal RNA, 126 nt
Filed under: Triticum aestivum (bread wheat)
Lineage: Eukaryota; Viridiplantae; Streptophyta; Magnoliopsida; Poales; Poaceae
Description: partial small subunit ribosomal RNA
Source: RNAcentral